GCCGCUGCAAAUUCAGCGGCCUGGGAUUGGCGUCCCGGAAAGUACAGGCGGACAUGAACACCGCCCCGAGCGGUUUUUUU
This is a small RNA of 80 nucleotides. It matches the Rfam family "isrK Hfq binding RNA".